Molecule: small nucleolar RNA, 102 nt
Organism: Pongo abelii (Sumatran orangutan)
Lineage: Eukaryota; Metazoa; Chordata; Mammalia; Primates; Hominidae
Source: Ensembl
AUGCUUCUUAAUUUAUAAGUGUGAUGAUUGGGUUUCUGUGUUUAUGUGUGAGAUGCGUCUCCCUCAACCUUGUUACAACAGUUGGGCAUUAUCUGACUGAUG